RNAcentral lists this long non-coding RNA (640 nucleotides) under Panicum hallii. RNAcentral describes it as "long non-coding RNA (PHAL_LNC000398)". Lineage: Eukaryota; Viridiplantae; Streptophyta; Magnoliopsida; Poales; Poaceae. The record is from RNAcentral.
AAGACAAAGUUCGUAUCCAUUUAUAUACAUCCAAAGCUCGUCCAGCAUUGCUCUUAUUUAGGAAUAAACAGAUUUACGCAUCCUUUACAAAGUUACAUAGAUUUUAUCAUAGAUCCAUCAAUAGCCAUGCAUGGACUUAUCAGACACGAAUAAAUGACAGCAAGUAGAGUAGUAGCCCUCAGCCGGAGACCGGCAGAGAAGCAGUGGAGACUAGAGACGACUAGCUAGAGACUAGAAUAGCUAGAGGGAGCCUGAGACCCAGGUGGACCAAAGAUUUCAACACAGGUGACCUGCCGGUUGCAUGGACGCGUAAGCGGCUGAUCAAGUCUCCACGAACUUGGUGGAAGCAUGGAACUUGGCGAUGAACGCCGACGCCUUCAUGUCGACGUCGCGCUCGCCGACGUACCACAGCCCGUCCUCGUCGCUUGGCCGCACCUUCCUCGACGACCGCCGCAGCUGCUCGUACCCCGGCUCGUCGGCGUCGUACCCUCCUGACCCGAAGCAGGACAAGCUGGCUCCCAUGUCGAUCGGCAGUCGCUUGCUUGUAGGCUUUGUAGCUUCUUCUUCUUGCCUCCCUAAGCUUCUUAGAGCGCAGACAGUUAUCAGGCACUAGCAGUGAGCUCACUAGGAAGCUGCGUGC